GCCGAGGUGGCGGAACUGGCAGACGCGCAGCGUUGAGGGCGCUGUGGGCUUUUGCCUGUGCGGGUUCGAGUCCCGCCCUCGGCA
RNAcentral lists this transfer RNA (84 nucleotides) under Halanaerobium sp. DL-01. It matches the Rfam family "tRNA". Rfam says of the family: Transfer RNA (tRNA) molecules are approximately 80 nucleotides in length. RNAcentral also lists the same sequence under 1 other name. Lineage: Bacteria; Bacillati; Bacillota; Clostridia; Halanaerobiales; Halanaerobiaceae. The record is from Rfam by way of RNAcentral.